This 1025-nucleotide long non-coding RNA is filed under the name Ovis aries (sheep). Its description in RNAcentral is "lncRNA (ENSOARG00000026306.1)". Lineage: Eukaryota; Metazoa; Chordata; Mammalia; Artiodactyla; Bovidae. The record is from RNAcentral.
UCUGCAUAUAAGUUGAAUAAGCAGGAGGAUAAUAUACAGCCUUGACGUACUCCUUUUCCUCUUUGUAACCAGUCUGUUUUUCCAUGUCCAGUUCUAACUGUUGCUUCCUGACCUGCAUAUAGGUUUCUCAAGAGGCAGGUCAGGUGGUCUGGUAUUCCCAUCUCUUGAAGAAUUUUCCACAGUUUAUUGUGAUCCACACAGUCAAAGGCUUUGGCAUAGUCAAUAAAGCAGAAAUAGAUGUUUUUCUGGAACUCUCUUGCUUUUUCAGUGAUCCAGCAGAUGUUGUCAAUUUGAUCUCUGGUUCCUCUGCCUUUUCUAAAGCCAGCUUGGACAUCUGGAAUUUCAAACUUCAGGUAUUUUUGAAGCCUAGCUUGGAGAAUUUUGAGCAUCGCUUUGCUAGCAUGGGAAAUGAGUGCAAUUAUUUGUGGUAGUUUGGGCAUUCUUUGGCAUUGCCUUUCUUUGGGAUUGGAAUGAAAACUGACCUUUUCCAGUCCUGUGGCCACUGCUGAGUUUUCAAAAUGUGCUGGCAAAUUGAGGGCAGAACUUUCAAAGCAUCAUCUUUCAGGAUUUGAAACAGCUCAACUGGAAUUCCAUCACCUCCACUAGAUUUGUUCACAGCGAUGCUUUCUUAGGCCCACUUGGCUUCACAUUCCAGAUGUAUGGCUCUAGGGGAGUGAUCACACCACUGUGAUUAUCUGGGUCUUGAAGUUUUUUUUUUUUUUCUUGCACAGUUAUUCUGUGUAUUCUUGCCACUUCUUGUUAAUAUCUUCUGCUUCUGUUACAUCCAAACCAUAUCUGUCCUUUAUUGAGCCCAUCUUUGAAUGAAAUAGUACCUUGGUAUCUCUCUUUUUCUUGAGGCGAUCUCUAGUCUUUCCCAUUCUAUUCUUUCCCAUUCCAUGAUAAAGGAACAGUGACCUCCACAGGAGACUUAUCUGUGGGUGUCUGGAAGUCUCCGGUGAAAGUGUUGGUCAGUGGUGGCCUGCUGCAUGGUUGGGGCCAUAGACUGUAGCAGUAAAUGCAGGAUA